AAAAAAAAAAAAAAAGAAAGAAAAAGAAAGAGAGCAUGGCCUACAGAAGGGCUUGAGUCAGGGUGGGCUUGUGCCUAGAAGUCCUCUGCCUCAUGUCACCCCGGUGAAGUCUUAUCUGUCCUUUGUAGCCUCCCCCUCUUCUAGAAGCCUUCCUUCACCUCUCUGCAGAACCAACCCCACUUCCCCAGGAACCCCUCCUCCUGGCAUCCUGGAAUCAGCCCCUGCAGGACAGCACCUGGGGCAAGGAGCCAUGUUUUAAGGGUGUAUCUGAGUAGGCAUCCCUGUUUGAUCAUCCCUAGUGCUUGCUCAGGUGAUUGUUCUUCAGCAGUAUCUGAUGAGCGGAAUGAGUUGCAUGAAAACUGUCAUGAUUUUGACCACGGGAAGACACUGUUCUUUCCAUGUGGCUUUGGAAAGACGGAAGUGGAAGAGAGGGCGGAUAUGACAAGACAGCGGACUUCAGCUAAAAUCAGGAAGUGUUUAUAACAAUAGUGACGACAGCUUCAUUAUGUCUUACUCGUGCAAUGCUACAUGAUAAGCAACUCCAAACAGCCCAGAGCAGUAGCAAGAAGCCCUUCAUUAAUUAUCUCACACAGCUCAUGCCAGCCAGGAACUCAGGAGUGGUGAGGAGAUUGGUUCCGGCUUGGCAUCUCUCAUGGGUUGCAGAUGCCAGCCAGGGCUGCGGUUAUCUGAAGAUGACAUUCUGGCAUACUCACGUGGUUGCUGAAGUCCUCAUUCAGAUUCACACACGAUCGACAACCUGAUUCUUCUCUUUCAUCAUCCACUUCCUAGUCUUCUGCUCCCAGUUCACUUUGAUCAGAGGCUACUGUCUCAACAUAGAUAAAGAGAAUCAUUUUGGAAGGACCUCAGAAAAAGGAGCUGCUGGGGUCCUCCUUUGUCUGCUGUGUUUACUUGUCCUAAUUGCCAAGACUCUGAAGAGGGGGAUGAAAACAAGAGAAGAUGUGAAGACAGCUUAUGAACUGGAGUAACCCUGGUCACAGGGAUGUAACAGGGGUUUUAGAAGGAGGGAGAGAUGCACUCAGCUCUCUCGCUAGGCUCAUCGGACUGAGAAGAUAUUUUUGGGUCCUUGUGUGAGUAUUUUCCCCUAAUAAACUACCAUUAUAAACCUA
Non-coding RNA from Cricetulus griseus (Chinese hamster), 1127 nucleotides. NCBI's taxonomy places the organism in Eukaryota, Metazoa, Chordata, Mammalia, Rodentia, Cricetidae. The record is from RefSeq and is a predicted model, not a curated record.